Small nucleolar RNA from Lactuca sativa (garden lettuce), 107 nucleotides. The record is from RefSeq and is a predicted model, not a curated record. NCBI's taxonomy places the organism in Eukaryota, Viridiplantae, Streptophyta, Magnoliopsida, Asterales, Asteraceae.
AGAUCAUUUUGAGGGCAAUUUCUUAGUAACCCUUUAUAACACUCCCAUGCCUCAUAAAGUGAUUCACCCGGAUUUUGCUUAAAGUUCGCUAUUGCCAUCUUGAGUUU